This 497-nucleotide ribosomal RNA is filed under the name uncultured bacterium. Its description in RNAcentral is "partial 16S ribosomal RNA". It matches the Rfam family "Bacterial small subunit ribosomal RNA", at positions 28 to 507 of the family's 1533-position model. The record is from RNAcentral.
GACGAACGCUGGCGGCGUGCCUAAUACAUGCCAGUUGAGCGAUGAAGAUUGGUGCUUGCACCAAUUUGAAGAGCAGCGAACGGGUGAGUAACGCGUGGAGAAUCUGCCUUUGAGCGGGGGACAACAUUUGGAAACGAAUGCUAAUACCGCAUAACAACUUUAAACAUAAGUUUUAAGUUUGAAAGAUGCAAUUGCAUCACUCAAAGAUGAUCCCGCGUUGUAUUAGCUAGUUGGUGAGGUAAAGGCUCACCAAGGCGAUGAUACAUAGCCGACCUGAGAGGGUGAUCGGCCACAUUGGGACUGAGACACGGCCCAAACUCCUACGGGAGGCAGCAGUAGGGAAUCUUCGGCAAUGGACGAAAGUCUGACCGAGCAACGCCGCGUGAGUGAAGAAGGUUUUCGGAUCGUAAAACUCUGUUGGUAGAGAAGAACGUUGGUGAGAGUGGAAAGCUCAUCAAGUGACGGUAACUACCCAGAAAGGGACGGCUAACUACGUG